GGUCCAGUAGCUCAGUGGUUAAGAGCACUGCUUAUAUAAAAAGCCAGAGGUCCUUGGUUCAAUCCCAGGCUGGGUCA
Molecule: non-coding RNA, 77 nt
Organism: Hysterangium stoloniferum
Lineage: Eukaryota; Fungi; Basidiomycota; Agaricomycetes; Hysterangiales; Hysterangiaceae
Source: the annotation of a GenBank genome assembly